This 503-nucleotide ribosomal RNA is filed under the name uncultured bacterium. Its description in RNAcentral is "partial 16S ribosomal RNA". It matches the Rfam family "Bacterial small subunit ribosomal RNA", at positions 28 to 523 of the family's 1533-position model. The record is from RNAcentral.
GAUGAACGCUGGCGGCGUGCCUAAUACAUGCAAGUCGAACGAAGAUCUAGCUUGCUAGAUCUUAGUGGCGAACGGGUGAGUAAUACAUAAAUAAUCUGCCCAUAUGACUGGGAUAACUAUUGGAAACGAUAGCUAAUACCGGAUAGGUUGAUUGGAGGCAUCUCUGAUUAAUUAAAGUAGGAUUUCUACACAAAUGGAUGAGUUUAUGGCGCAUUAGUUAGUUGGUGGGGUAACGGCCUACCAAGACGAUGAUGCGUAGCCGACCUGAGAGGGUGACCGGCCACACUGGGACUGAGACACGGCCCAGACUCCUACGGGAGGCAGCAGUAGGGAAUUUUCGGCAAUGGGCGCAAGCCUGACCGAGCAACGCCGCGUGAGUGAUUAAGGCCUUCGGGUUGUAAAGCUCUGUUGUAAGGGAAGAACAUUCAGGAUAGGAAAUGAUCUUGAACUGACGGUACCUUACCAGAAAGCCACGGCUAACUACGUGCCAGCCGCCGCAGUAA